This 485-nucleotide ribosomal RNA is filed under the name Ruegeria sp. SF0996-25. RNAcentral's name for it is "bacterial SSU rRNA". It matches the Rfam family "Bacterial small subunit ribosomal RNA", at positions 373 to 876 of the family's 1533-position model. Lineage: Bacteria; Pseudomonadati; Pseudomonadota; Alphaproteobacteria; Rhodobacterales; Roseobacteraceae. The record is from RNAcentral.
GGGGGCAACCCUGAUCCAGCCAUGCCGCGUGAGUGAUGAAGGCCUUAGGGUCGUAAAGCUCUUUCGCCUGUGAAGAUAAUGACGGUAGCAGGUAAAGAAACCCCGGCUAACUCCGUGCCAGCAGCCGCGGUAAUACGGAGGGGGUUAGCGUUGUUCGGAAUUACUGGGCGUAAAGCGCACGUAGGCGGACCAGAAAGUUGGGGGUGAAAUCCCGGGGCUCAACCCCGGAACUGCCUCCAAAACUAUUGGUCUAGAGUUCGAGAGAGGUGAGUGGAAUUCCAAGUGUAGAGGUGAAAUUCGUAGAUAUUUGGAGGAACACCAGUGGCGAAGGCGGCUCACUGGCUCGAUACUGACGCUGAGGUGCGAAAGUGUGGGGAGCAAACAGGAUUAGAUACCCUGGUAGUCCACACCGUAAACGAUGAAUGCCAGACGUCGGGUAGCAUGCUAUUCGGUGUCACACCUAACGGAUUAAGCAUUCCGCCUGG